GACAAACUUUAAACUCACGAAUGCUUCCGUCCCAACAGCCCACCUUCCUCUGUAUAGUGAAAUGUGUGUUCAUAUGAACCCUACAUUCGAAUAGCUUUGCUAUUCUAGUGAAUGCAUCUGAGUGGUAUUUCACCAGAUGGUGCGCUCAGAUCCCAGCUAUUCAAUGAAGGGUCAUUCGGCUAAUUCUGAGUAAAAUUGUAUCAGUUAUGCAUUUUUUAUGUGAAACUGUAUAUUUUGCUGUACAGAGAGAUAAUGUAAUUAACAGUAUAUUCUUGCGCAAUUAUCUCUCCAAUACAGCAGUGUAUGAUGGGAAAUGCC
Molecule: non-coding RNA, 318 nt
Organism: Pelobates cultripes (western spadefoot toad)
Lineage: Eukaryota; Metazoa; Chordata; Amphibia; Anura; Pelobatidae
Source: the annotation of a GenBank genome assembly